RNAcentral lists this transfer RNA (69 nucleotides) under Lobopterella dimidiatipes. Its description in RNAcentral is "tRNA-Gln". Lineage: Eukaryota; Metazoa; Arthropoda; Insecta; Blattodea; Blattellidae. The record is from RNAcentral.
UACAUUUUAGUGUAUGGUGCACAGGAAUUUUUGAUAUUCUAGGAAAUAGUUUAAUUCUAUUGAAUGUAA